This 29-nucleotide small RNA is filed under the name Bombyx mori (domestic silkworm). Its description in RNAcentral is "ovarian small RNA-20456". Lineage: Eukaryota; Metazoa; Arthropoda; Insecta; Lepidoptera; Bombycidae. The record is from RNAcentral.
UACAUUAGUGUGGUCUUCAUCACAUGCAC